UUGGAGGGCAAGUCUGGUGCCAGCAGCCGCGGUAAUUCCAGCUCCAAUAGCGUAUAUUAAGGUUGUUGCAGUUAAAAAGCUCGUAGUUGAAUUUCGGGAUCAAAUUGUCGGUCGUGCCUCGGUACGCACUGGUAUUAUUGGUUCCUACCUUCUGAAGAACCGCGAUGUCAUUAAUUUGGUGUCGUGGGGAAUCAGGACUGUUACUUUGAAAAAAUUAGAGUGUUUAAAGCAGGCUUACGCUUGAAUACAUUAGCAUGGAAUAAUGAAAUAGGACGUUUGAUUCUAUUUUGUUGGUUUCUAGGAUUGACGUAGUGAUUAAUAGGGUUAGUUGGGGGCAUUAGUAUUCAAUUGUCAGAGGUGAAAUUCUUGGAUUUAUUGAAGACUAACUACUGCGAAAGCAUUUGCCAAGGAUGUUUUCAUUAAUCAAGAACGAAAGUUAGGGGAUCGAAGACGAUCAGAUACCGUCGUAGUCUUAACCAUAAACUAUGCCGACUAGGGAUCGGAUGAUGUUAAUUUUUUAAUGACUCAUUCGGCGCCUUACGGGAAACCAAAGUGUUUGGGUUC
Molecule: ribosomal RNA, 564 nt
Filed under: uncultured Glomeromycotina
Lineage: Eukaryota; Fungi; Glomeromycota
Description: SSU rRNA
Rfam family: Eukaryotic small subunit ribosomal RNA
Source: RNAcentral